CUCCCAAGAACUCUUCAGGGAGGCUGCCAGGCCCAUCACACACACCCCACCAAUGAAAAGAUUCAAAACUCCAGCAGGGAAGAUAGGACGAAACCAGCAAAUUGUCUCCUCCUGCAUCCAAAUCGCUCAGCUGCUGGUUUGUGGCAAACAGUGGCAGGAAAUAUUUCCAGAGAAUUCGUCGGAUGCUUCAACCCUCUGAAGGACUAAGGCAUCCUCUGAAGUCUAUCUCGGGGGAAACUCAUCCUAUCUGUGCUUUCCGGAAUAACCUCCUCGAGGAGACCCGUGUGCCCAUGACUGCGAGAGUCUAGGUCGGAACACGAACGAGGGAAGUGGCUUCUUGGAGGAGCCCAUGCCCCAUCCCGAGAAGCAGCCGCGAGCUGUCACGUCUAGACAGUAGCAGCCAGGCAGGCCCGGGAUUGCCGGAUCUUCCCAUUUUUUCAAGAAAAGCCCCAAGUGAAGAUUUUCCUGUGAAAUCGGUCCAUUGUAAACCUUGGCUCCAAUUUUAAAAAAUGGUGCAGGCAAAAUAAACCGCACACGUGGGUGA
Leptonychotes weddellii (Weddell seal) is the source of this 544-nucleotide non-coding RNA. The record is from RefSeq and is a predicted model, not a curated record. NCBI's taxonomy places the organism in Eukaryota, Metazoa, Chordata, Mammalia, Carnivora, Phocidae.